UACGUAUGGAGCAAGCGUUAUCCGGAUUUAUUGGGUUUAAAGGGUGCGUAGGCGGAUCGUUAAGUCAGUGGUCAAAUUGAGGGGCUCAACCCCUUCCCGCCAUUGAAACUGGCGAUCUUGAGUGGAAGAGAAGUAUGCGGAAUGCGUGGUGUAGCGGUGAAAUGCAUAGAUAUCACGCAGAACCCCGAUUGCGAAGGCAGCAUGCCGGCUUCCUACUGACGCUGAAGCACGAAAGCGUGGGGAUCGAACAGG
Molecule: ribosomal RNA, 252 nt
Filed under: uncultured bacterium
Lineage: Bacteria
Description: partial 16S ribosomal RNA
Rfam family: Bacterial small subunit ribosomal RNA
Source: RNAcentral